AAACCAACAGGGAUUGCCUUAGUAGCGGCGAGUGAAGCGGCAAGAGCUCAAAUUUGAAAUCUGGUACCUUCGGUGCCCGAGUUGUAAUUUGAAGAAAGCUAUCUUGGAGGUGGCCUUUGUCUAUGUUCCUUGGAACAGGACGUCAUGGAGGGUGAGAAUCCCGUGUGAUGAGGUGUCCAUUUCCGUGUAAGAUGCUUUCGAAGAGUCGAGUUGUUUGGGAAUGCAGCUCAAAGUGGGUGGUAAAUUCCAUCUAAAGCUAAAUAUUGGCGAGAGACCGAUAGCGAACAAGUACUGUGAAGGAAAGAUGAAAAGAACUUUGAAAAGAGAGUGAAAAAGUACGUGAAAUUGUUGAAAGGGAAGGGUAUUUGAUCAGACUUGGUAUUUAGCUAUCAUCGCUCCUUGUGGGUGGUGCUCUAGCUUUUUACUGGGCCAGCAUCAGUUUUGGUGGCAAGAUAAUGACAGUUGAAUGUGGCUCCUCGGAGUGUUAUAGCUUCUGUUGAUGUUGCCUACCGAGACUGAGGUCUGCGGCUUUUGCCUAGGAUGCUGGCGUAAUGAUCCAAUACCG
RNAcentral lists this ribosomal RNA (565 nucleotides) under Ogataea polymorpha. RNAcentral's name for it is "eukaryotic LSU rRNA". It matches the Rfam family "Eukaryotic large subunit ribosomal RNA", at positions 62 to 647 of the family's 3401-position model. Lineage: Eukaryota; Fungi; Ascomycota; Pichiomycetes; Pichiales; Pichiaceae. The record is from RNAcentral.